This 572-nucleotide ribosomal RNA is filed under the name uncultured bacterium. Its description in RNAcentral is "partial 16S ribosomal RNA". It matches the Rfam family "Bacterial small subunit ribosomal RNA", at positions 355 to 918 of the family's 1533-position model. The record is from RNAcentral.
UGGGGAAUUUUGGACAAUGGGCGCAAGCCUGAUCCAGCCAUGCCGCGUGCGGGAAGAAGGCCUUCGGGUUGUAAACCGCUUUUGUCAGGGAAGAAAUCUUCUGAGUUAAUACCUCGGGAGGAUGACGGUACCUGAAGAAUAAGCACCGGCUAACUACGUGCCAGCAGCCGCGGUAAUACGUAGGGUGCAAGCGUUAAUCGGAAUUACUGGGCGUAAAGCGUGCGCAGGCGGUUUUGUAAGACAGAGGUGAAAUCCCCGGGCUCAACCUGGGAACUGCCUUUGUGACUGCAAGGCUUGAGUGCGGCAGAGGGGGGAUGGAAUUCCGCGUGUAGCAGUGAAAUGCGUAGAUAUGCGGAGGAACACCGAUGGCGAAGGCAAUCCCCUGGGCCUGCACUGACGCUCAUGCACGAAAGCGUGGGGAGCAAAACAGGAUUAGAUACCCUGGUAGUCCACGCCCUAAACGAUGUCAACUGGUUGUUGGGAAGGUUCCUUCUCAGUAACGUAGCUAACGCGUGAANUUGACCGCCUGGGGAGUACGGCCGCAAGGUUGAAACGCAAAGGAAUUGACGGGG